GAUGAACGCUGGCGGCGUGCCUAAUACAUGCAAGUCGAGCGAACAGACGAGGAGCUUGCUCCUCUGACGUUAGCGGCGGACGGGUGAGUAACACGUGGAUAACCUACCUAUAAGACUGGGAUAACUUCGGGAAACCGGAGCUAAUACCGGAUAAUAUAUUGAACCGCAUGGUUCAAUCGUGAAUGACGGUUUUGCUGUCACUUAUAGAUGGAUCCCCGCCGCAUUAGCUAGUUGGUAAGGUAACGGCUUACCAAGGCAACGAUGCGUAGCCGACCUGAGAGGGUGAUCGGCCACACUGGAACUGAGACACGGUCCAGACUCCUACGGGAGGCAGCAGUAGGGAAUCUUACGCAAUGGGCGAAAGCCUGACGGAGCAACGCCGCGUGAGUGAUGAAGGUCUUCGGAUCGUAAAACUCUGUUAUUAGGGAAGAACAAAUGUGUAAGUAACUAUGCACGUCUUGACGGUACCUAAUCAGAAAGCCACGGCUAACUACGUG
This 497-nucleotide ribosomal RNA is filed under the name uncultured bacterium. Its description in RNAcentral is "partial 16S ribosomal RNA". It matches the Rfam family "Bacterial small subunit ribosomal RNA", at positions 28 to 507 of the family's 1533-position model. The record is from RNAcentral.